Molecule: RNase P RNA, 344 nt
Filed under: Actinobacteria bacterium HGW-Actinobacteria-10
Lineage: Bacteria; Bacillati; Actinomycetota
Description: RNase P RNA component class A
Rfam family: Bacterial RNase P class A
About the family: Ribonuclease P (RNase P) is a ubiquitous endoribonuclease, found in archaea, bacteria and eukarya as well as chloroplasts and mitochondria. Its best characterised activity is the generation of mature 5'-ends of tRNAs by cleaving the 5'-leader elements of precursor-tRNAs. Cellular RNase Ps are ribonucleoproteins.
Source: RNAcentral
GGAGUGGGUUGGUCGAUCGCGCGUGCGCAAGCACGUGAGGAAAGUCCGGACUCCAUAGGGCAAGGUGCCAGCUAACGGCUGGGCGGGGCGACCCGACGGAAAGUGCCACAGAAAAGAAAACUCUCUCGCGCAAGCGGGAGAAAAGCUGAAACGGUGCGGUAAGAGCGCACCAGCGUCGCGGCAACGCGGCGGCUUGGCAAACCCCACCCGGAGCAAGAGCAAAUAGGAGCGGUCAAGGUCGGCCCGACCGGCGCUCGGGUAAGCUCGCGUGAGGCCGUCGGCGACGGCGGUCCCAGAUAAAUGAUCGUCCACGACAGAAUCCGGCUUACAGACCCACUCCACCC